CUUCUCCUGCAAUACUGCCCAGGACCCAGUGCUCUCAGUAGACUGUCACCACCUUGUUUAUACAUGGUGCUGAGGGACGGGAGACUUUGAGAACCCAGUAACGAAGCAUGGGGUUGAGGUGGGGUGCUGAGGUUCAGGCAGAGGACUGCGGCACUUGGGCAGAAAGUGGUGCAGACACUGAGGCCCGGGGCAGCCAACGAGGCCGCUGCAGCUAGCACUCAGCUAAUCCGGCUCAGGGCCAAGCUGAGGCCAGGAGCUGGCACUGGUGUUGCAAGCUGGCCACUGUGCAGUGUAAGCUCUGCACCGCAAACUCGGGGUGGGCUUCGCAGACCCGCCCCUGCCUGCCUAUCCAUUCUAGCCUUGCCCAACGAGGCCAAGAGACCCGAGCUAGCAACUGCUUACAGAUUCCCGGUAGGGACCCGGUGGCUUUCUUAAAUGACUGUGAUUGGCGAAAGAAUCAACUCUAAAAAUCAGACUACUUGAAGAGUCCCGAGGGGCCUGCCCUACCUAGUCAGCUCCAGUUAAGCAAAGAAAGGAUUGGUUGGGGGAUGGGAGGAUGGGCGGGGCUUCCUGCUGCUCCGGAGAAUUCCACCCUGGGAACAGAAAGUGCAGCUCCUCCUAACUCCCACAACCCAGCUUUUAAAAGAAUUGUUACCACAACCCGACUCAAAGAGCCAAUUCCCCGCAAUCGUGUUUGCAGAAACUCCUGUCCUUGUGAAUUACAGAACUCUUUAUGCCCAGAAUUAUGAAGGAAUUUGGUGAUUAAAUGAAUUCUUUUUUCUCUUCACACUGUGCAUGGAUAUCUGUGCACAGUGUGAAUGCAGAUCCUUCAAAACCCAGAAGAAUGCAUCAAAUCCCCUGUUACUGGAGUUACCAACAGUUGUGAGCUGCCAUGCGGGUGCCUGGUCCUUGAAGAGAGCUUUGACUGAACCACCUCUCAGUCCUCAGCUACUUCUCCCAUUGACUCCCAUGUGUGCAUCCUUCUGUCUCUUCUUAACUUCUCUUUUACCACCUUAAUCCAUGGGCCUAGGGACUGAAUAUAACAGGAAAGAACAGUUGCGUGGCUUUCCUUCUUUUCAUAGAGAUGCAGAAGCUUAAAACAUUCUCAUCUACUUUGAUCCAAGGAAGUCUAAUAAAAAUCUAAGGAAAUAACCUCAGAAAUAUUUAGUGACAUCAGUAAUGGUAGAGAAAACAUCAUGGGAAACAAGCCCGCCAGGGUGAAAGGAAAGGUUUAAAUGAAUGGGGGAUGUCUGUCCAUAAGACAGAAUGUGGGUAGCAGUGGAUGUCCUAGUGUGUGUCCACACACACCAGCUACAUAAUGGUUGAUUGGUUAACAGUGGACUCUCAAGCAUUAAGGAAAGAUUCACCGAUAAAGAAAAGUACAGAAGU
This 1389-nucleotide small RNA is filed under the name Rattus norvegicus (Norway rat). RNAcentral describes it as "uncharacterized LOC102550955". The record is from RNAcentral. Lineage: Eukaryota; Metazoa; Chordata; Mammalia; Rodentia; Muridae.